AACGAACGCUGGCGGCAGGCUUAACACAUGCAAGUCGAGCGAGACCUUCGGGUCUAGCGGCGGACGGGUGAGUAACGCGUGGGAACGUGCCCUUCUCUACGGAAUAGCCCCGGGAAACUGGGAGUAAUACCGUAUACGCCCUUUGGGGGAAAGAUUUAUCGGAGAAGGAUCGGCCCGCGUUGGAUUAGGUAGUUGGUGGGGUAAUGGCCCACCAAGCCGACGAUCCAUAGCUGGUUUGAGAGGAUGAUCAGCCACACUGGGACUGAGACACGGCCCAGACUCCUACGGGAGGCAGCAGUAGGGAAUCUUAGACAAUGGGGGCAACCCUGAUCUAGCCAUGCCGCGUGAGUGAUGAAGGCCUUAGGGUUGUAAAGCUCUUUCAGCUGGGAAGAUAAUGACGGUACCAGCAGAAGAAGCCCCGGCUAACUCCGUG
RNAcentral lists this ribosomal RNA (433 nucleotides) under uncultured bacterium. Its description in RNAcentral is "partial 16S ribosomal RNA". It matches the Rfam family "Bacterial small subunit ribosomal RNA", at positions 29 to 507 of the family's 1533-position model. The record is from RNAcentral.